Molecule: ribosomal RNA, 3023 nt
Filed under: Erwinia amylovora
Lineage: Bacteria; Pseudomonadati; Pseudomonadota; Gammaproteobacteria; Enterobacterales; Erwiniaceae
Description: bacterial LSU rRNA
Rfam family: Bacterial large subunit ribosomal RNA
Source: RNAcentral
GGGUUGUGAGGUUAAGCGACUAAGCGUACACGGUGGAUGCCCAGGCAGUCAGAGGCGAUGAAGGGCGUGCUAAUCUGCGAUAAGCGUCGGUAAGGUGAUAUGAACCGCAACAACCGACGAUACCCGAAUGGGGAAACCCAGUGCAAUCCGUUGCACUAUCAUGUCAUGAAUACAUAGUGGCAUGAGGCGAACCGGGGGAACUGAAACAUCUAAGUACCCCGAGGAAAAGAAAUCAACCGAGAUUCCCCCAGUAGCGGCGAGCGAACGGGGAACAGCCCAGAACCUGAAUCAGUUUGUGCCUUAGUGGAAGCGUCUGGAAAGUCGCGCAGUAAAGGGUGACAGCCCCGUACACAAAAAGGCACUUGCUGUGAGUUCGAUGAGUAGGGCGGGACACGUGACAUCCUGUCUGAAUAUGGGGGGACCAUCCUCCAAGGCUAAAUACUCCUGACUGACCGAUAGUGAACCAGUACCGUGAGGGAAAGGCGAAAAGAACCCCGGCGAGGGGAGUGAAACAGAACCUGAAACCGUGUACGUACAAGCAGUGGGAGCACCUUCGUGGUGUGACUGCGUACCUUUUGUAUAAUGGGUCAGCGACUUAUAUUCUGUAGCAAGGUUAACCGUAUAGGGGAGCCGCAGGGAAACCGAGUCUUAACUGGGCGUUAAGUUGCAGGGUAUAGACCCGAAACCCGGUGAUCUAGCCAUGGGCAGGUUGAAGGUUGGGUAACACUAACUGGAGGACCGAACCGACUAAUGUUGAAAAAUUAGCGGAUGACCUGUGGCUGGGGGUGAAAGGCCAAUCAAACCGGGAGAUAGCUGGUUCUCCCCGAAAGCUAUUUAGGUAGCGCCUCGUGAAUUCAUCUCCGGGGGUAGAGCACUGUUUCGGCUAGGGGGCCAUCCCGGCUUACCAACCCGAUGCAAACUGCGAAUACCGGAGAAUGUUAUCACGGGAGACACACGGCGGGUGCUAACGUCCGUCGUGAAGAGGGAAACAACCCAGACCGCCAGCUAAGGUCCCAAAGUCAUGGUUAAGUGGGAAACGAUGUGGGAAGGCACAGACAGCCAGGAUGUUGGCUUAGAAGCAGCCAUCAUUUAAAGAAAGCGUAAUAGCUCACUGGUCGAGUCGGCCUGCGCGGAAGAUGUAACGGGGCUAAACCAUGCACCGAAGCUGCGGCAGCGGACGUAUCACCCAAGCAGAUUCACUGAAGUGGAUAACGAUUGACGGAGCGCAGCGACGUCAAUGCGCCCAUCAAAGUCGAGUCGGCUUCGGGAUACGUCCGUUGGGUAGGGGAGCGUUCUGUAAGCCGUCGAAGGUGUGCUGUGAGGCAUGCUGGAGGUAUCAGAAGUGCGAAUGCUGACAUAAGUAACGAUAAAGCGGGUGAAAAGCCCGCUCGCCGGAAGACCAAGGGUUCCUGUCCAACGUUAAUCGGGGCAGGGUGAGUCGACCCCUAAGGCGAGGCCGAAAGGCGUAGUCGAUGGGAAACGGGUUAAUAUUCCCGUACUGGGUGUUACUGCGAAGGGGGGACGGAGAAGGCUAUGUUAGCCGGGCGACGGUUGUCCCGGUUUAAGCGUGCAGGCUUGAGUUCCAGGCAAAUCCGGAACUCUUUAAGGCUGAGGCGUGAUGACGAGGCACCACGGUGCUGAAGUAACAAAUGCCCUGCUUCCAGGAAAAGCCUCUAAGCAUCAGGUAACAUCCAAUCGUACCCCAAACCGACACAGGUGGUCAGGUAGAGAAUACCAAGGCGCUUGAGAGAACUCGGGUGAAGGAACUAGGCAAAAUGGUGCCGUAACUUCGGGAGAAGGCACGCUGGCGCGUAGGUGAAGCGACUUGCUCGUGGAGCUGAAGCCAGUCGAAGAUACCAGCUGGCUACAACUGUUUAUUAAAAACACAGCACUGUGCAAACACGAAAGUGGACGUAUACGGUGUGACGCCUGCCCGGUGCCGGAAGGUUAAUUGAUGGGGUUAUCCGCAAGGAGAAGCUCUUGAUCGAAGCCCCGGUAAACGGCGGCCGUAACUAUAACGGUCCUAAGGUAGCGAAAUUCCUUGUCGGGUAAGUUCCGACCUGCACGAAUGGCGUAAUGAUGGCCAGGCUGUCUCCACCCGAGACUCAGUGAAAUUGAACUCGCUGUGAAGAUGCAGUGUACCCGCGGCAAGACGGAAAGACCCCGUGAACCUUUACUACAGCUUGACACUGAACAUUGAGCCUUGAUGUGUAGGAUAGGUGGGAGGCUUCGAAGCGUGGACGCCAGUCUGCGUGGAGCCAACCUUGAAAUACCACCCUUUAACGUUUGAUGUUCUAACCUGGCGCCGUUACCCGGCGUGGGGACAGUGUCUGGUGGGUAGUUUGACUGGGGCGGUCUCCUCCCAAAGAGUAACGGAGGAGCACGAAGGUCAGCUAAUCACGGUCGGACAUCGUGAGGUUAGUGCAAUGGCAUAAGCUGGCUUGACUGCGAGAGUGACGGCUCGAGCAGGUGCGAAAGCAGGUCAUAGUGAUCCGGUGGUUCUGAAUGGAAGGGCCAUCGCUCAACGGAUAAAAGGUACUCCGGGGAUAACAGGCUGAUACCGCCCAAGAGUUCAUAUCGACGGCGGUGUUUGGCACCUCGAUGUCGGCUCAUCACAUCCUGGGGCUGAAGUAGGUCCCAAGGGUACGGCUGUUCGCCGUUUAAAGUGGUACGCGAGCUGGGUUUAGAACGUCGUGAGACAGUUCGGUCCCUAUCUGCCGUGGGCGCUGGAAGAUUGAGAGGGGUUGCUCCUAGUACGAGAGGACCGGAGUGAACGCACCGCUGGUGUUCGGGUUGUCAUGCCAAUGGCAUUGCCCGGUAGCUAAGUGCGGAAAAGAUAAGCGCUGAAAGCAUCUAAGCGCGAAACUUGCCUCGAGAUGAAUCUUCCCUGACUCCUUGAGAGUCCUGAAGGGACGUUGAAGACGACGACGUUGAUAGGCCGGGUGUGUAAGCGCAGCGAUGCGUUGAGCUAACCGGUACUAAUGACCCGUGAGGCUUAACCUUACAACGCCAGAAGCGUUCUG